This 336-nucleotide ribosomal RNA is filed under the name Staphylococcus aureus. RNAcentral describes it as "bacterial SSU rRNA". It matches the Rfam family "Bacterial small subunit ribosomal RNA", at positions 1 to 325 of the family's 1533-position model. The record is from RNAcentral. Lineage: Bacteria; Bacillati; Bacillota; Bacilli; Caryophanales; Staphylococcaceae.
UUUUAUGGAGAGUUUGAUCCUGGCUCAGGAUGAACGCUGGCGGCGUGCCUAAUACAUGCAAGUCGAGCGAACGGACGAGAAGCUUGCUUCUCUGAUGUUAGCGGCGGACGGGUGAGUAACACGUGGAUAACCUACCUAUAAGACUGGGAUAACUUCUGGAAACCGGAGCUAAUACCGGAUAAUAUUUUGAACCGCAUGGUUCAAAAGUGAAAGACGGUCUUGCUGUCACUUAUAGAUGGAUCCGCGCUGCAUUAGCUAGUUGGUAAGGUAACGGCUUACCAAGGCAACGAUGCAUAGCCGACCUGAGAGGGUGAUCGGCCACACUGGAACUGAGAC